Molecule: ribosomal RNA, 460 nt
Filed under: uncultured bacterium
Lineage: Bacteria
Description: partial 16S ribosomal RNA
Rfam family: Bacterial small subunit ribosomal RNA
Source: RNAcentral
CCUACGGGUGGCAGCAGUGAGGAAUAUUGGUCAAUGGACGGAAGUCUGAACCAGCCAUGCCGCGUGCAGGAAGACGGCUCUAUGAGUUGUAAACUGCUUUUGUACAAGGGUAAACCUGAAUACGUGUAUUCAGCUGAAAGUACUGUACGAAUAAGGACCGGCUAACUCCGUGCCAGCAGCCGCGGUAAUACGGAGGAUCCAAGCGUUAUCCGGAUUUAUUGGGUUUAAAGGGUGCGUAGGCGGAUUGAUAAGUUAGUGGUGAAAUGUCCGAGCUUAACUCGGGAACUGCCUCUAAUACUGUUGGUCUAGAGAGUAGAUGCGGUAGGCGGAAUGUAUGGUGUAGCGGUGAAAUGCUUAGAGAUCAUACAGAACACCGAUUGCGAAGGCAGCUUACCAAUCUAUAUCUGACGUUGAGGCACGAAAGCGUGGGGAGCAAACAGGAUUAGAUACCCCGGUAGUC